RNAcentral lists this ribosomal RNA (505 nucleotides) under uncultured bacterium. Its description in RNAcentral is "partial 16S ribosomal RNA". It matches the Rfam family "Bacterial small subunit ribosomal RNA", at positions 28 to 507 of the family's 1533-position model. The record is from RNAcentral.
GACGAACGCUGGCGGCGUGCCUAAUACAUGCAAGUAGAACGCACAGUUUAUACCGUAGCUUGCUACACCAUAGACUGUGAGUUGCGAACGGGUGAGUAACGCGUAGGUAACCUGCCUGGUAGCGGGGGAUAACUAUUGGAAACGAUAGCUAAUACCGCAUAAUAUUAAUUAUUGCAUGAUAAUUAAUUGAAAGGUGCAAUUGCACCACUACCAGAUGGACCUGCGUUGUAUUAGCUAGUAGGUGAGGUAACGGCUCACCUAGGCGACGAUACAUAGCCGACCUGCGAGGGUGGUCGGCCACACUGGGACGGAGACACGGCCCAGACUCCUACGGGAGGCAGCAGUAGGGAAUCUUCGGCAAUGGACGAAAGUCUGACCGAGCAACGCCGCGUGAGUGAAGAAGGUUUUCGGAUCGUAAAGCUCUGUUGUAAGAGAAGAACGGGUGUGAGAGUGGAAAGUUCACACUGUGACGGUAUCUUACCAGAAAGGGACGGCUAACUACGUG